AUGUCCAGCCAUAUGGUCAAACCACACAUACUACUUUAUAUACAUUUAUUAUAUAAUGAGUGGCGUAAAAACCAUAAUAUUAGAAUUUAUAAAGAGUCAAUUAAACAAUCAAGGUUCAUUAUUAAAGGCGCUGUGAGUGAAUGAUGGAAAAUUUGAGUUUUAAGUAAUUUCUUAAAUGAAGCAACAGAAGAACAGUUUUUAAUGUGAGCUCUCACUGGCUAAUACCUGAGAGCAUUAGAGAAGACAAACAACAAUGAAUGCAUGAAAGCAUGCAACAAAAAUACAGUACUGUACAUGUACAAACAGGAUGUUCAAAAAAUAAACCAUAACACCAAGAAUGCUCUGAACCAGAUGCUUCAACUCGUCAUCAUUGAUCUAUGGUGGAUUGAGUGGUAAAGACGCAGAUAAAUUUAUGAUUCAGGACUUUGAAUGGCAUGCACUGGUUUCUGAUUCCGAGGCUAUAAACCUUGAGGGAGACAGUCAACCAGUCUCCAUCGUACAUUUGAUAGAAUGGUAAACGAAAUAGGAAUGUACAAAUGAGAUUGAAAUAUAUAGUUGGAAUUUAACAUACGACAACACAGCAACAUCCCAUGAUUCACAUAAUAACCAUCUGAAUGUGGCCGAAACAACUUCUUAGAAUCAUGUGUUUAGACCUUAACACUGCUUACAAGACAUUUUAUGACUCUAUAUGAUUUGUUUAGUUUUCUAUUCUAAGGAUGACUAUCACAUGGUUAAAUAUUUCUGAUGAUGUUACUAUUUUAAGUAUAAUAAAAAUAAGGCAAGCAUAGAUCGAUGAACUGUGUAAUGAAAAUAAACUGGUACUAAAAUAAAACGUUAGUAAAACAAAGGAAGUUUGGGAAACAGAAGCUUGUAUAAAUUUUCAUUGUACAGUACAACAUAAAUAAGUUUAGGCCCAAGUUUUGUUUAUGUGAAUAAUAAACCAUGCUUAAAGCAUCUUGACCCAUGAUCUUCAUAAACUGUUUUGUGCUAUUGUAAUCACUAUUAAAAAGGCACAAUGGCACCUACUCCAGUAUAUUUUUGUGUGCGUCAAGACAGAAGUUUUCAGGGUUAAUUCACUCAUAUUACUUUUUUACAAGUCUGUAAUUCGAAGCGUUCUAAAUUUGUUAUUUUGUGGUUCAGCGAAGCUACGAAUAA
This is a long non-coding RNA of Anneissia japonica, 1155 nucleotides long. RefSeq lists it as uncharacterized. The record is from RefSeq and is a predicted model, not a curated record. NCBI's taxonomy places the organism in Eukaryota, Metazoa, Echinodermata, Crinoidea, Comatulida, Comatulidae. The transcript has 3 exons.